Molecule: long non-coding RNA, 822 nt
Filed under: Hordeum vulgare
Lineage: Eukaryota; Viridiplantae; Streptophyta; Magnoliopsida; Poales; Poaceae
Description: long non-coding RNA (HVUL_LNC007840)
Source: RNAcentral
ACAAUCAUCAAUCGAGCACAAAGGUAAACGAGUGAGGUAGGAGUACUUCAUCUUUCUGAAUUUCUUUGCGCUCUCGUUGAGUGGGUGCUUUAUUACGCAGAGGACGCAAGCGGCAGCAAUGUAAAGCAGCUUUCAUAGCCGAGGCUGGUCACAUGCCCGGUUUGGCUGCUUGCAGUAGAUGGAGCCUGUAGUCUGCUCGCAUCAUUACCUUUGUGAAAGGAAGCUGGCGCUCUUCCCCUGAAAUAUCUGGCGGAUUUCAGCUUCAGUUAACCAGAUUAGGCUGCCAAUUGCUAGUUAAUCUCUGGCUAACCAGAUUCUGCGGACGCGAACUCGAAUUAGGUGACUGUUUUAUUGUGUGGAUCCCACCAUAGGGCAUGCGCAACGUGCAUCGUGACUGGAACCGGAGAUGAAGCAGAUUGCCUGGUCGCGGCACCGCACACUGUAACUGCGGCAGCCACUAGGAAACUAGGCGAAAUGAAAAGCGAGAAGGGGGAAUGUGGUAGGAGAAAAAUAAGUGAUUUUGUUUCUUAUCUUGAAAAGAAAGUUUUAGACACUAGAUACAUAGAAAGAGAAACUUCAGUGCAAAGCGUGAUGUGGGAAAUUUUAGCGCUAGCAAAGGCACUCACAAUGUGCGUGCUAGGCCAAGGACGCCAAGGUAGAAUAGUCUUGAUGAUACCUCUUUCCACACCUUUGGAACCAACGAAUGAUUGCAAGUUCAUGCUCGCUACAGUCAGUUUGUAAGAAUUAAGCUAGGGACGUGUUUAGUUGACUACAUUAGGUUCAACCAGGCCAUGCCGAAAGAAAACGGGCUGAUCGAUUGCU